Pteropus alecto (black flying fox) is the source of this 1107-nucleotide long non-coding RNA. RefSeq lists it as uncharacterized. The record is from RefSeq and is a predicted model, not a curated record. The transcript has 4 exons. NCBI's taxonomy places the organism in Eukaryota, Metazoa, Chordata, Mammalia, Chiroptera, Pteropodidae.
GCGGCGAGGACCGCGGGGUCGACGCGUAGUCCGCGGAAGCGCUUGGGAUGCUGCGGAUGCCGCGGGGUCCGAAGCGAGGUGUCCACGAAAGGUGUCGCUGCUGCCCCGGGAAAGCGUUUCGUCUCCUGACUCCUCGCUUAGCGUUCCGUUGGCCAUGCUCCGUCCACUGAACGUCAGUAAAGCCUUGGACACUCCCUUCGGAGAGGUAGCUCCUUCACAUUUUUAACACCUGGCCCCCACUGGGACUUCACUUUGAAAAGAAAACGAAGAGCAAAAGAUGAUGAUGUCGUAAGCCUUAGCAGCCUUGAUCUGAAGAUGCUAUCUGCCGUCGUCAAAAUUAUAUUUGGACCACAAACCCGAACAUUCAAAUGAAACUAAGAUUUUAGGGUUGGCGAGCUGGGAUUUUCGUGCUACGACUGUCACCAUGAGACCCUAUUUGGCUCCUGUAGGCUUUUUAUUGUUACAUAUGAAGACUUCCACCUUUACCUCAUGGGUCCCCAGCUGAAGGGGAGAAACGAGCUAUUCCUUCCCCUCAUUAUCUUGGCCUUAUCUGUAUCAGAACUGAAUAGAAAAACCUAGUUCGGAGAAAGACAUCAGGUAAGAGACCCACGAGAUUACCCUAGAAGCUUCUUUCCUCUCGCUGUGCAGAGGUCCUUUGUUCCUUUAUGAAACUAAGUGGCUGUACUGCUGAAACUAACAGAGCCAGACAUCUGGCUUCUAGCUUAGCCUCUCACUGUCUCGGAGGGCUUAGGCCGAUCCGUGUUCUGACCCGUGACAUUUAGGGAACUGGAUUCCAUAAUCUCUAAGGUGACUCCACUGGAAUGCUGUAUAGAGCUAUCUUCUACAAACAGCUCCUCUGAAGGCCAGCUGCAUCGUAUGUGUCAAUGCAUGCAUAUUGAUGACUGGGCGAUAAAGGAUAGAUGGUGAAAUAUAACCAGUCUCCAUUGCUAAAAAAAGUCUCAGUGCAGGAGGACGAGUUAUUACCAUCAUCUUGGAUACGAAAGACAUUGGUUUUUACAGAAGAGCAGCAUUGGGCCUUCCUGCAAGAAGUAACACGGCCCCACAAACCUUCGUAAAUCGUUUUAAUAGAUUAUUUGUCAUUAUAAA